Molecule: ribosomal RNA, 393 nt
Filed under: uncultured bacterium
Lineage: Bacteria
Description: partial 16S ribosomal RNA
Rfam family: Bacterial small subunit ribosomal RNA
Source: RNAcentral
AUACGGAGGAUGCGAGCGUUAUCCGGAUUUAUUGGGUUUAAAGGGUGCGUAGGCUGUGCGUUAAGUCAGGGGUGAAAUGCCGUCGCUCAACGACGGAGCUGCCCUUGAUACUGGCGUGCUGGAGUACGGAUGCCGUUGGAGGAAUGAGUGGUGCAGCGGUGAAAUGCUUAGAUAUCACUCAGAACACCGAUUGCGAAGGCAUCUGACGAAUCCGUCACUGACGCUGAGGCACGAAAGCGUAGGGAUAGAACAGGAUUAGAUACCCUGGUAUUCCACGCCGUAAACGAUGAUGACUAACCGUCGGCGAUAGACAGCCGGUGGCCAAGCGAAAGCGAUAAGUCAUCCACCUGGGGAGUACGGCGGCAACGAUGAAACUCAAAUGAAUUGGCGGGG